RNAcentral lists this unclassified non-coding RNA (263 nucleotides) under plant metagenome. RNAcentral's name for it is "partial contains small subunit ribosomal RNA, internal transcribed spacer 1, and 5.8S ribosomal RNA". The record is from RNAcentral.
GUUCCGUAGGUGAACCUGCGGAAGGAUCAUUAUUGUAUAACCGAGGGGCGAGGGCUGUCGCUGACCCGACAGGUCGUGCACGCCCGAGUGCCCUCACACACAUCCAUCUCACCCCUAUGUGCACCACCGCGUGGGUCCCCCUUUGGCUUGUUCGGAGGGGGGCUUACGUUUUCACACAAACUUUGUAUGCAGUGUAGAAUGUAUUUUUUGUUUUUGCGAUCACGCAAUCAAUACAACUUUCAACAACGGAUCUCUUGGCUCUC